This is a long non-coding RNA of Thalassophryne amazonica, 660 nucleotides long. RefSeq lists it as uncharacterized. Lineage: Eukaryota; Metazoa; Chordata; Actinopteri; Batrachoidiformes; Batrachoididae. The record is from RefSeq and is a predicted model, not a curated record. The transcript has 4 exons.
GCCGAUUGAAAGAUCCUGUCAAGACUGCCGCACCGAUGUUACAUUCCAUUGAGUUAUCAUUUAUGUUGUUUUAACAUAAUGAAGACAAAUGUAGAUUAACAUGCUAGUUACAAAAUUGCGUACAGGUCAAAAAAGCUUGGGAUGUGCUUGGUUUGGAUUUGAUUGGACCACUACCAGAAACAGCAUGCAACAACAGAUAUGUCCUCACCUUGACAGAUAUCUACACAUAGUGGUUGAUUGCUGAACUACUGCAAACUGAGACAGCAACCGAGGUGUCUGCAAUAAUAACUUCUAAGUUAUAUGUGUUUGGCAUGGUGAGGACAAUGAUCUCAGACCAAGAGAAGGAGGUCAUCAAUGAGCUCAAUGCAAGAUUUUCAAUGUGCUGAACAUCAAACCUGUGGUGUUCAGCACAUCCCAUCUCCAGACCAGUGGAAAGGAUACAAGGACGGAACAGGUCAUCAAACAGGCUCUCCGAAAUCAUGUGAAUGACAACCAUCAUGACUGGGAUCUCAAACUUCCUGCUGUGGUGUAUGGAAUUAACACUGCAAAGCAGGACUCAACCAGGGACAGUCUCUACUUUCUCCUCUUCCAUCGACAUCUGCAUUGACCAGAGAUGUUGAAUGCUUGUCCCAUGAGAGAUGACUUUGAAGUUGCUCAACA